UACGUACGUGGCGGCGUGCUAUACAUGCAAGUCGAGCGAAUGGAUUAAGAGCUUGCUCUUAUGAAGUUAGCGGCGGACGGGUGAGUAACACGUGGGUAACCUGCCCAUAAGACUGGGAUAACUCCGGGAAACCGGGGCUAAUACCGGAUAACAUUUUGAACCGCAUGGUUCGAAAUUGAAAGGCGGCUUCGGCUGUCACUUAUGGAUGGACCCGCGUCGCAUUAGCUAGUUGGUGAGGUAACGGCUCACCAAGGCAACGAUGCGUAGCCGACCUGAGAGGGUGAUCGGCCACACUGGGACUGAGACACGGCCCAGACUCCUACGGGAGGCAGCAGUAGGGAAUCUUCCGCAAUGGACGAAAGUCUGACGGAGCAACGCCGCGUGAGUGAUGAAGGCUUUCGGGUCGUAAAACUCUGUUGUUAGGGAAGAACAAGUGCUAGUUGAAUAAGCUGGCACCUUGACGGUACCUAACCAGAAAGCCACGGCUAACUACGUGCCAGCAGCCGCGGUAAUACGUAGGUGGCAAGCGUUAUCCGGAAUUAUUGGGCGUAAAGCGCGCGCAGGUGGUUUCUUAAGUCUGAUGUGAAAGCCCACGGCUCAACCGUGGAGGGUCAUUGGAAACUGGGAGACUUUGAGUGCAGAAGAGGAAAGUGGAAUUCCAUGUGUAGCGGUGAAAUGCGUAGAGAUAUGGAGGAACACCAGUGGCGAAGGCGACUUUCUGGGUCUGUAACUGACACU
Molecule: ribosomal RNA, 738 nt
Filed under: Bacillus sp. S621B-35
Lineage: Bacteria; Bacillati; Bacillota; Bacilli; Caryophanales; Bacillaceae
Description: bacterial SSU rRNA
Rfam family: Bacterial small subunit ribosomal RNA
Source: RNAcentral